AGUAUUUUUAGAGCUUGCUUUGAAAAUACUUAGUGGCGAACGGGUGAGUAACACGUGAGUUACCUGCCCCGAAGCGGGGGAUAGCCCGAAGAAAUUCGGAUUAAUACCCCAUGUGAUCGAAAGAUUAAAGGCGGCGUAAGCUGUCGCUUCGGGAUGGGCUCGCGGCCUAUCAGCUUGUUGGUGAGGUAAUGGCUCACCAAGGCGAUGACGGGUAGCUGAUCUGAGAGGAUGAUCAGUCACACUGGAACUGAGACACGGUCCAGACACC
Molecule: ribosomal RNA, 268 nt
Filed under: uncultured bacterium
Lineage: Bacteria
Description: partial 16S ribosomal RNA
Rfam family: Bacterial small subunit ribosomal RNA
Source: RNAcentral